RNAcentral lists this ribosomal RNA (749 nucleotides) under bacterium. Its description in RNAcentral is "bacterial SSU rRNA". It matches the Rfam family "Bacterial small subunit ribosomal RNA", at positions 56 to 794 of the family's 1533-position model. The record is from RNAcentral.
UGCAGUCGAACGGCAGCAUGAUCUAGCUUGCUAGAUUGAUGGCGAGUGGCGAACGGGUGAGUAAUACAUCGGAACGUGCCCUGUAGUGGGGGAUAACUAGUCGAAAGAUUAGCUAAUACCGCAUACGACCUGAGGGUGAAAGUGGGGGACCGCAAGGCCUCAUGCUAUAGGAGCGGCCGAUGUCUGAUUAGCUAGUUGGUGAGGUAAAGGCUCACCAAGGCGACGAUCAGUAGCUGGUCUGAGAGGACGAUCAGCCACACUGGGACUGAGACACGGCCCAGACUCCUACGGGAGGCAGCAGUGGGGAAUUUUGGACAAUGGGGGCAACCCUGAUCCAGCAAUGCCGCGUGUGUGAAGAAGGCCUUCGGGUUGUAAAGCACUUUUGUCCGGAAAGAAAUCGCACUUACUAAUAUUAGGUGUGGAUGACGGUACCGGAAGAAUAAGGACCGGCUAACUACGUGCCAGCAGCCGCGGUAAUACGUAGGGUCCAAGCGUUAAUCGGAAUUACUGGGCGUAAAGCGUGCGCAGGCGGUUGUGCAAGACCGAUGUGAAAUCCCCGGGCUUAACCUGGGAAUUGCAUUGGUGACUGCACGGCUAGAGUGUGUCAGAGGGGGGGUAGAAUUCCACGUGUAGCAGUGAAAUGCGUAGAGAUGUGGAGGAAUACCGAUGGCGAAGGCAGCCCCCUGGGAUAACACUGACGCUCAUGCACGAAAGCCUGGGGAGCAAACAGGAUUAGAUACCCUGGUAGU